UACGGGGGGGGCAAGCGUUGUUCGGAAUUACUGGGCGUAAAGGGUUUGUAGGUGGCUUGCUAAGUCAGACGUGAAAUCCCUCAGCUUAACUGAGGAACUGCGUCUGAGACUGGCAAGCUUGAGUGCAGGAGAGGAACGCGGAAUUCCAGGUGUAGCGGUGAAAUGCGUAGAUAUCUGGAGGAACACCGGUGGCGAAGGCGGCGUUCUGGACUGUAACUGACACUGAUGAACGAAGGCCAGGGGAGCAAACAGG
RNAcentral lists this ribosomal RNA (253 nucleotides) under uncultured bacterium. RNAcentral describes it as "partial 16S ribosomal RNA". It matches the Rfam family "Bacterial small subunit ribosomal RNA", at positions 524 to 776 of the family's 1533-position model. The record is from RNAcentral.